GUAAAUUUCAAAAGGAAAGUCCUUAUAAUCAAAUGGCAAAAUCAAAAGCUUUAACACAUCAAACGAAUGGAUAAUUAAAAUUGUCAUAUUCCUAACUUGGCAAAGACAUGGUGGAUUGAACUUGGUUUUAUAGCUAGCUAAACCUCUCUCUUGUAUGACAGUCACAUCAAAUUCCAUUAUAUUGACAACGAUGCGUGAACAAAACAAACAGACACAAUAUGUAAAAAUUUAAAAAAUAGGGG
RNAcentral lists this long non-coding RNA (242 nucleotides) under Mytilus galloprovincialis (Mediterranean mussel). The record is from RNAcentral. Lineage: Eukaryota; Metazoa; Mollusca; Bivalvia; Mytilida; Mytilidae.